This is a non-coding RNA of Paramuricea clavata, 388 nucleotides long. The record is from the annotation of a GenBank genome assembly. NCBI's taxonomy places the organism in Eukaryota, Metazoa, Cnidaria, Anthozoa, Malacalcyonacea, Plexauridae.
GAAUAAGAUCAAACAGACCUGUUACCAGGCACUUCAAUAGAGAGUUUGAGCAAGACAACGAAGUACGAAGACAUACUUGAUAAUUUUUGCCGUCUGCACAUUAUCUUGCGCAUACUGUGUUGGACGUCACUGGUGAUUGCUCAACGUACUGUCUUCCCAUGUGUCGCUGUUUAUGAAUAUUGACCUUGUUUCUUGCCCUGUUCCAGAAAAAAACAGCGAGACAUGUAACUAUAUCCCGUCUUUGUCCUUGUGCUUUCGUGCAGAACGAAGUUGACAACGAAUUUUGCCAAAAUAUUCGUUGUGAACGAAGGCAGAAGAACGAAGACGGGAUAUGGAUUCAUGUCUCGCUGUUUUAUCCUGAUCAGGGUAAUAGGCCGUCACAUAAGGC